AACGAACGCUGGCGGCAUGCCUAACACAUGCAAGUCGAACGAAGCCUUCGGGCUUAGUGGCGCACGGGUGCGUAACGCGUGGGAAUCUGCCCCUUGCUUCGGAAUAACAGUUAGAAAUGACUGCUAAUACCGGAUGAAGUCUUCGGACCAAAGAUUUAUCGGCAAGGGAUGAGCCCGCGUAGGAUUAGGUAGUUGGUGGGGUAAAGGCCUACCAAGCCGACGAUCCUUAGCUGGUCUGAGAGGAUGAUCAGCCACACUGGGACUGAGACACGGCCCAGACUCCUACGGGGGCAGCAGUGGGGAAUAUUGGACAAUGGACGCAAGUCUGAUCCAGCAAUGCCGCGUGAGUGAUGAAGGCCUUAGGGUUGUAAAGCUCUUUUACCAGGGAUGAUAAUGACAGUACCUGGAGAAUAAGCUCCGGCUAACUCCGUG
Molecule: ribosomal RNA, 432 nt
Filed under: uncultured bacterium
Lineage: Bacteria
Description: partial 16S ribosomal RNA
Rfam family: Bacterial small subunit ribosomal RNA
Source: RNAcentral